RNAcentral lists this ribosomal RNA (1317 nucleotides) under Gergithus sp. 3 NS-2013. Its description in RNAcentral is "SSU rRNA". It matches the Rfam family "Eukaryotic small subunit ribosomal RNA", at positions 436 to 1665 of the family's 1831-position model. The record is from RNAcentral. Lineage: Eukaryota; Metazoa; Arthropoda; Insecta; Hemiptera; Issidae.
GCAAUUACCCACUCCCGGCACGGGGAGGUAGUGACGAAAAAUAACGAUACGGGACUCAUCCGAGGCCCCGUAAUCGGAAUGAGUAUACUCUAAAUCCUUAUACGAGUAUCAAUUGGAGGGCAAGUCUGGUGCCAGCAGCCGCGGUAAUUCCAGCUCCAAUAGCGUAUAUUAAAGUUGUUGCGGUUAAAAAGCUCGUAGUUGGAUCUGUGUCCCGCACCGUCGGUUCACCGCCUGUCGGUGUUCAACUGGCGUGUAUGCGGAACGUCCUGCCGGUGGCGGUCCGGGGCCCAGUUGGUACGUAGGGGUCGUCCUUGCCUUGCUUGCGUCGUCCCCGAAGGCCUUCAGGUGUCUCCGGCCGCCUUUCGAUCCCGUCGCGGUGCUCUUCACCGAGUGUCGAGGCGGGCCGGCACGUUUACUUUGAACAAAUUAGAGUGCUUUAAGCAGGCCCUGUCCCGCCUGUAUGUUGUGUGCAUGGAAUAAUGGAAUAGGACCUCGGUUCUAUUUUGUUGGUUUUCGGAAUCUGAGGUAAUGAUCAAUGGGGACAGGCGGGGGCAUUCGUAUUGCGACGUUAGAGGUGAAAUUCUUGGAUCGUCGCAAGACGGACCGAAGCGAAAGCAUUUGCCAAGUAUGUUCUCGUCGAUCAAGAACGAAAGUUAGAGGUUCGAAGGCGAUCAGAUACCGCCCUAGUUCUAACCAUAAACUAUGCCUGCCAGCGAUCCGCCGAAGUUCCUCCGAUGACUCGGCGGGCAGCUUCCGGGAAACCAGAGCUUUUGGGUUCCGGGGGAAGUAUGGUUGCAAAGCUGAAACUUAAAGGAAUUGACGGAAGGGCACCACCAGGAGUGGAGCCUGCGGCUUAAUUUGACUCAACACGGGAAAACUCACCAGGCCCGGACACCGGAAGGAUUGACAGAUUGAGAGCUCUUUCUUGAUUCGGUGGGUGGUGGUGCAUGGCCGUUCUUAGUUGGUGGAGCGAUUUGUCUGGUUAAUUCCGAUAACGAACGAGACUCUAGCCUACUAACUAGGCGUACCCGGUAUCCACAAUCGUGCUACCGGCGAUCAUAUUUCUUCUUAGAGGGACAGGCGGCUUCUAGCCGCACGAGACUGAGCAAUAACAGGUCUGUGAUGCCCUUAGAUGUCCUGGGCCGCACGCGCGCUACACUGAAGGAAUCAGCGUGUCUUCCCUGUCCGAAAGGACCGGGUAACCCGCUGAACCUCCUUUGUGCUAGGGAUUGGGGCUUGCAAUUGUUCCCCAUGAACGAGGAAUUCCCAGUAAGCGCGAGUCAUAAGCUCGCGUUGAUUACGUCCCUGCCCUUGUAC